GACGAACGCUGGCGGCGUGCCUAAUACAUGCAAGUUGAGCGCUCAAAGUUGGUACUUGUUCCUCCUGCGUUAGCAGCGCACGGGUGAGUAACGCGUGGAGAAUCUGCCUUUAAGACGGGGACAACUUUUGGAAACGAAUGCUAAUACCGCAUAAUAUCUUUAAACACAAGUUUUAAUUUUGAAAGAUGCAUUUGCUUUACUCAAAGAUUAUCUCCCGUUGUCUUAGCUAGUUGGUUAGGUAAAGGCUUACCAAGGCGAUGAUACAUAGCCGACCUGAGAGGGUGAUCGGCCACACUGGGACUGAGACACGGCCCAGACUCCUACGGGAGGCAGCAGUAGGGAAUCUUCGGCAAUGGACGAAAGUCUGACGGAGCAACGCCGCGUGAGUGAAGAAGGUUUUCGGAUCGUAAAACUCUGUUAGUAGGGAAGAACGAAGGUGAAAGUGGAAAGGCAAGCAAGGAAGGGAAAUAAUCAAGAAGGGACGGGUAACUAAGUG
Molecule: ribosomal RNA, 496 nt
Filed under: uncultured bacterium
Lineage: Bacteria
Description: partial 16S ribosomal RNA
Rfam family: Bacterial small subunit ribosomal RNA
Source: RNAcentral